This 279-nucleotide ribosomal RNA is filed under the name uncultured bacterium. RNAcentral's name for it is "partial small subunit ribosomal RNA". It matches the Rfam family "Bacterial small subunit ribosomal RNA", at positions 26 to 288 of the family's 1533-position model. The record is from RNAcentral.
AGAACGAACGCUGGCGGCGUGGAUAAGACAUGCAAGUCGAGCGAGAUUUUUUCUUGUAGCAAUACAGGGAAAAGUCUAGCGGCGAACGGGUGCUUAACACGUGGGCAAUCUGCCGAGAAGUGGGGGAUAGCUCGCCGAAAGGCGAAUUAAUACCGCAUGUGAUUAGAGUGGACAUCCAUUCAAAAAUCAAAGUCGGGGCAACCUGACGCUUCUUGAGGAGCCCGCGGCCUAUCAGCUAGUUGGUGAGGUAACGGCCCACCAAGGCGAUGACGGGUAGCU